This 467-nucleotide ribosomal RNA is filed under the name uncultured bacterium. RNAcentral's name for it is "partial 16S ribosomal RNA". It matches the Rfam family "Bacterial small subunit ribosomal RNA", at positions 30 to 507 of the family's 1533-position model. The record is from RNAcentral.
AGUGAACGCUGGCGGUAGGCCUAACACAUGCAAGUCGAACGGCAGCACAGUAAGAGCUUGCUCUUACGGGUGGCGAGUGGCGGACGGGUGAGGAAUACAUCGGAAUCUACUUUUUCGUGGGGGAUAACGUAGGGAAACUUACGCUAAUACCGCAUACGACCUACGGGUGAAAGCAGGGGAUCUUCGGACCUUGCGCGAUUGAAUGAGCCGAUGUCGGAUUAGCUAGUUGGCGGGGUAAAGGCCCACCAAGGCGACGAUCCGUAGCUGGUCUGAGAGGAUGAGGAGCGACACGGGGACGGAGACAGGGACGGGAGUGGGAAGGGAGGAAGCAGGGGGGAAUAGGGGAAAAGGGGAGAAAGCCGAAUCAAGUAAGGGCGCGGGAGUGAUGAAGGACGUAGGGGGGAAAAGCGCUUGGACACGGGAGGAUAAGGACAGGACCGGGAGAAUAAGCGCCGGCUAACUCCGUG